GGGAUCUUAGCUCAGCUGGGAGAGCAUCUGCCUUACAAGCAGGGGGUCACAGGUUCGAGCCCUGUAGGUCCCA
Non-coding RNA from Lachnobacterium bovis, 73 nucleotides. Lineage: Bacteria; Bacillati; Bacillota; Clostridia; Lachnospirales; Lachnospiraceae. The record is from Rfam.